AACGAACGCUGGCGGCAUGCCUAACACGUGCAAGUCGAACGAGACCUUCGGGUCUAGUGGCGCACGGGUGCGUAACGCGUGGGAACCUGCCCUUAGGUUCGGAAUAACUCCCCGAAAGGGGUGCUAAUACCGGAUAAUGUCUUCGGACCAAAGAUUUAUCGCCUUUGGAUGGGCCCGCGUUGGAUUAGCUAGUUGGUAGGGUAAAAGCCUACCAAGGCGACGAUCCAUAGCUGGUCUGAGAGGAUGAUCAGCCACACUGGGACUGAGACACGGCCCAGACUCCUACGGGAGGCAGCAGUGGGGAAUAGUGGACAAUGGGCGAAAGCAUGAUCCAGCAAUGCCGCGUGAGUGAUGAAGGCCUUAGGGUUGUAAAGCUCCUUUACCCGGGAUGAUAAUGACAGUACCGGGAGAAUAAGCUACGGCUAACUCCGUG
RNAcentral lists this ribosomal RNA (433 nucleotides) under uncultured bacterium. RNAcentral describes it as "partial 16S ribosomal RNA". It matches the Rfam family "Bacterial small subunit ribosomal RNA", at positions 29 to 507 of the family's 1533-position model. The record is from RNAcentral.